This 447-nucleotide ribosomal RNA is filed under the name uncultured bacterium. RNAcentral describes it as "bacterial SSU rRNA". It matches the Rfam family "Bacterial small subunit ribosomal RNA", at positions 329 to 793 of the family's 1533-position model. The record is from RNAcentral.
AGCCAGACUCCUACGGGAGGCAGCAGUGGGGAAUAUUGCACAAUGGGGGAAACCCUGAUGCGGCGACGCCGCGUGAGCGAUGAAGUAUUUCGGUAUGUAAAGCUCUAUCAGCAGGGAAGAAAAUGACGGUACCUGACUAAGAAGCCCCGGCUAACUACGUGCCAGCAGCCGCGGUAAUACGUAGGGGGCAAGCGUUAUCCGGAUUUACUGGGUGUAAAGGGAGCGUAGACGGCAAUGCAAGCCAGAUGUGAAAGCCCGGGGCUCAACCCCGGGACUGCAUUUGGAACUGUGUAGCUGGAGUAUCGGAGAGGCAGGCGGAAUUCCUAGUGUAGCGGUGAAAUGCGUAGAUAUUAGGAGGAACACCAGUGGCGAAGGCGGCCUGCUGGACGAUGACUGACGUUGAGGCUCGAAAGCGUGGGGAGCAAACAGGAUUAGAUACCCUGGUAA